This 729-nucleotide long non-coding RNA is filed under the name Homo sapiens (human). Its description in RNAcentral is "HSALNT0251038". Lineage: Eukaryota; Metazoa; Chordata; Mammalia; Primates; Hominidae. The record is from RNAcentral.
GCAGCUCUUUCCUUCUGGAAUGAAUUGUUUGCCGGAUAUUUCUGAGACUCUCAGGAAUUUAAACUGUUCCACCCUCUCUGCUCCACCCAGAUCCAGGCCCAGUUAUCUUCACUGUGAGCCCCUGGGACUCCUCUUCCCUGCUCAGGAUGCGCUCAGCUCUGAUCAGGGUGUUGUCUUCAUCUUUUGGGGAUGCCCCUAGCACACUGGAUCUGUUGGUCACAUGGCCCGAGAAACAGAAUACCUGGAACCACAGCUUGGAUUUGCUGCCCACACUCAACACUGGUGGCUUUCUGAGGCAUCAGGGAACUGGGAGAGAAGUUUAUACUAUGUUGUCUUCAAAAUCUAAAGAAACUGCAGCAUGAUGUCUCUCUUUAAAAAAAAUUUAUAUGAUAGUUUUAUUGUUCAGAUAAUAUAUAAGAUAGUAUUAUGGAUUAGUAUUUCUCAAAUAAAAGAAUAUGAUCUCUCUUUUACAUUUAUUUUAUUUUAUUUUUUAAUUUUUAUUCUGGGUUCAGGGAUACAUGUGCAGGUUUGCUAUAUAGAUAUGCUAAGUAAAGGUAAACUUCUUUGGUCUCACUCUACUGAUGGAUUGCCUGAGGCCGUGUUGAUCUGCCCCAGUAAAGCUCCAUAUCCGGUGGCAUGUGCCUGUAGUCCCAGCUACUUGGAAAGUGAGAGAAUCACUUGAGCCUAGAAGUCCAAGGGUUCAGCCCAGGUAACAGUUAGACCUUAUCU